RNAcentral lists this long non-coding RNA (1082 nucleotides) under Salmo salar (Atlantic salmon). Its description in RNAcentral is "lncRNA (ENSSSAG00000100234.1)". Lineage: Eukaryota; Metazoa; Chordata; Actinopteri; Salmoniformes; Salmonidae. The record is from RNAcentral.
UAAAUGACUAAAAUGUAAAAUGGAAAGGUAUGGAAACAAAAUAUUUAAAAAAUAACAAAAAAAACACAUAUACCUCAAAUAUACAUUAACACACAGAAACAGCAAAUCCUCCAUAAACACAGAAAAAAUAUAUGCAACAUGUAAAGUGUUGGUCCCAUGUUUCAUGAUCUGAAAUCAAAUCAAAUGUAUUUAUAUAGCCCUUCUUACAUCAGCUGAUAUCACAAAGUGCUGUACAGAAACCCAGCCUAAAACCCCAAACAGCAAGCAAUGCAGGUGUAGAAGCACGGUUGCUAGGAAAAACUCCCUAGAAAGGCUGAAACCUAGAGAGGAACCAGGCUAUGAGGGGUGGCCAGUCCUCUUCUUGCUGUGCCGGGUGGAGAUUAUAACAGCACAUGGCCUAGAUGUUCAAAUGUUCAUAAAUGACCAGUAUUGUCAAAUAAUAAUAAUCAUAGUAGUUGUCGAGGGUGCAACAAGUCAGUAACACAAGAGUAAGUGUCAGUUGGCUUUUUCAUAGCCGAUCUUUGAGAGUAUCUCUACCACUCCUGCUGUCUCUAGAGAGUUGAAAACAGCAGGUCUGGGACAGGUAGCAUGUCCGGUGAACAGGUCAGGGUUCCAUAGCUGCAGGCAGAACAGUUGGAACUGGAGCAGCAGCACGGCCAGGUGAACUGGGGACAGCAAGGAGUCAUCAAGCCAGGUAGUCCUGAGGCAUGGUCCUAGGGCUCAGGUCCUCCGAGAGAGAGAAAGAAAGAAAGAUCCCAGAAAUAUCCCAGAAAUAAAAGAUCCCAGAAAUGUUCCACACGCACAAAAAUCUUAUUUCUCUCAAAUGUUGUGCACCGUUAGUGAGCAUUUUAUCCUUUGUCAAGAUAAUCCAUCCACCUGACAGGUGUGGCAUAUCAAGAAGCUGAUUAAACAGCAUAGGGUGGGGUGCUGAGGAGUAUUUCAGUCUGUAAUUAAGCCCUUUUGUGGGGAAAAAUGUAUUCUGAUUGGCUGGGCCUGGGUCCCCAGUGAGUGGGCCUAUGCCCUUCCAGACCCACCCAUGGCUGCGCCCCUGCCUAUUCAUGUGAAAUCCAUAGAUUUCCAUA